Long non-coding RNA from Ailuropoda melanoleuca (giant panda), 1090 nucleotides. RefSeq lists it as uncharacterized. Lineage: Eukaryota; Metazoa; Chordata; Mammalia; Carnivora; Ursidae. The transcript is spliced from 2 exons. The record is from RefSeq and is a predicted model, not a curated record.
GUGCAGUCCUCCUGAGCACCCCUGUAGUGGCAUUUUCACACCACGCUGUCAUUCGUUGUCUCUCCUUCUGUCCUUUCUGCUAGGAGUAGAUCUCUCCUGCAGCUGCCUGGCUGGAUGACAGGUGGAUGAAUGGUUUCAGGAUCUUUUGUCCUGGAAUAGCAGGCAUCCUUCAAAACCCUGAUGGGCAGGAUUCAAGGAGCUGCGAGGAAUCCAUGGUGGUUCACCGUCAAUAAUUUUGCAGAUGAAGAAUAUGCCUUUUGCAUGGAGUAUGGCAAGACUUGUUCCAAGUAUUUUCUAGUUGGUACAGAAGUCGGGGAGAGUGGCACCCUCCAUCUGCUGGGAUAGGCGUGAGACGCUGAGUGCUCUCAAGAAGAUAUCUGGCUUUCGCAGCACUCACUGUGAGCCUGCACACAGGACUGACGAGGACAUUUAAAGGUUUUGUUCUAAGGAUGGAGUAUUGGAAGAAUGUGGUGCACCUCGUAAUCCUGGGAAGAGGACAGAUCUGGAGUCCACUGUGGGGUUGCUCCGUGAGAGUGGUGGUGAUCUACAGCGUCCAGCUAACGAGAUGCCUGUCCUUUAUUAAGUUGUGGGUGUGGUUUCUGUGACUUUGUCCUAAUGGCUGGGCUUUCCAAGGAGUAGGAUUUUUUUUACAUUGUUGUAAUAGUUAGUCCCCUGAGAGUGGGCAAGUCCUNGUCCCGUUCUGCUGCUGAGAAGUGUGUCUCUAGCGGUUGGAGUCUGUAUCACAGGCCUAUAGGUCAAGGGUGGGGGGGUUCCAGUGGUCAGCAGGCUGUUGUUCUUGAUGAGUUUUAUGGGUAACUUUCAUAUGAUGAGAUAUUAGAUCUUAUUAAUAGGUAUCCUCAUUAAGUGCCCAUAAAGAGUGUUUUUCUGAAUUUAAUAAUAGAUACAUUUUUAUUACUUCUAAUACCCCUCCUUGUACUUGGUAUUCCAAUGAGCAGUGCAUUACAAUGUUGCCUGCAUUUUAUCCGUGUAUUGAUGAAGCUUUGGGUAUGGAAAAUGUUGAGAAUGUUUCCACAAAUGUACACUGGCACAUCCAAAUAAUUAUUAAUAAAAUUUUAUUUUUGACAACAAA